CCCACGUCAGCCUCCCCCAGCACCAAAUUGGCUGGAGAGGUGGUCAGGAUGAAAGGAAUGGCUUUGAUCCUACUGCUUGAACUAAGACUUUACAAAUUUAAGAAACACAAUGACAACAUUCAACAAUUAGACUUAACAACAGCAUUAGCAUUGUUGACCUUUAUUGAAGAUAUUUCAUCUGCAACCCGUAAUAAUAAAUACACAAUUGGGGUAUUAGUUGAUUUAAAAAAAGCUUUUGAUACAUUUCAAAAUCCCAUUUUGAUUUCUAAAUUGCAGGGUUUAUUAAGAAUCUUUUCUUCUUCCUGCUCCUUUUCACGCAUGGUUGUUGCGAGUUAUAGUGAGAAAAACUAUGGUUUGUGUGUAUGAAAGGACAAAACUGUUGAAACUGUUGAACCAAGUGUGAAAUAAAUACAUUAAAUGAAAAAGCUUUCUAAAAUAACAGACCUACACACAGGAGAGAUAUUGUUCCUCACAUUACAAUGAAGAAUGAAAAUUUUUUAAUUCUUCAUUCGAUGAUAUUGGGACAACAGGUGGAGCAGGAAUGACAGUAUCACUAAUGGUGCCAAAUAACACCCAGAAAAAGGGGAAACAGGACAUACGAUCCUGCACAAAUGUUGGUCUUUAACAAAGGUGAAACACUCAAGUUGUAUGAUAUAAACAUGACAAAAACAGCACAGAAACAGGAGGAGGAUUUCUCCAGUUAAUGUCUGUCUUAUUAUUAGUGAUUUAUACAGGAUGAGAGCUCAUUAACCCUAAACUUCAGUACAGCAAGUCUGUUUCCUCACCACAGCUCACAGGCUAGAUGUUUGGUGAAGCGUCUCACCAGUGUUUCCUAAAACAUUUAACUAUGUUUGGCUUCACACCGACAAACAUAUUAUGUUUUACAGCAGUAGUAAUAAUUCGGGUUUGGUUCCAUACGUAUUGUUAUAAUCCAUUGGUUUAUGCAAGCAUGGAUCUUCAAGGAAAGCCAAAAAGGAGGCAAAUGUUGGCGAAAGUUAGCAGUUGCAUUUUAGUAAUGGUCAUGAAUGUGAGCAAAAGCAGCGAGGUGUCCUAUCCAGCUAUAUAGAAGAGCAAUAUAACGAUGAUGAAGGUGACAGUUUGAAUCAGUCAUAUUUCAUUCAAUACAGUGGUGUACUGACAGAUCCAGGAUCCAAAUCAUCAGCAGUUUGAUCCACGUAUGGAUUGAAAUUUAUUUGUGAAAAUGUUGGACUGUUCCUUUAUCAGUGUGUAACAGUGUGUGUAUGAGAGCCAUGUAAUGUCCAUGUGUGCAUGCUGACUGUGCUGCUCUGACCCCCCUCCUCCUUUCAGGGUGGAGCCUGCUGGAGUCCGAUGGUUGAGACCAGGUCUGAGGAAGUAUUCCUGUCAACUCACAAUCGACACAAACACAGUACACAAACCUCCAACUGUCUGACAACAACAGGAAGGUGACACAUGUGAAGGAGGUUCAGUCAUAUCCUGAUCAUCCAGACAGAUUUGAUGGGUUAUCAGCUGCUGUGUAGAAAUGGUCUGACUGGUCGCUGUUACUGGGAGGUCGAGUGGAGAGGAAGAGUUAUAUAUCAGUGAGUUACAGAAGAAUCAGAAGGAAAGGAGACAGUGAUGACUGUUUGUUUGGAUGGAAUGAUCAGUCCUGGAGUCUGAUCUGCUCUGAUGAUGGUCCUCGUUAUGUCUGGCACAAUAACAGAGUAACAUCCAUCUCCUCCUCCUCCUCCUCCUCUGUCUCUAACAGAGCAGCAGUGUAUGUGGACUGUCCUGCUGGCACUCUGUCCUUCUACAGAGUCUCCUCUGACACUCUGAUCCACCUCCACACCUUCAACACCACAUUCACUCAAACUCUUUAUCCUGGGUUUAUGUUCUGGUCUCCUGGUGGCUCAGUGUCCCUGUGCUGAGUGGAGUGUAAAGAGUGUCUCCUGUUACAGAAACACUCUGACUGUUGAACAGAUAGUUCAGUCUGUACAUGUCUGUCUCUUUCACUCACAAACACGUUUUCAGAUUCAUGGAUUCAAUCAGUUGAUGUUUGAAACUCUUCUAAAUGAUUCCUUGUAAACUUCUUCCUCUUCAGUC
Haplochromis burtoni (Burton's mouthbrooder) is the source of this 2061-nucleotide long non-coding RNA. RefSeq lists it as uncharacterized. The record is from RefSeq and is a predicted model, not a curated record. Lineage: Eukaryota; Metazoa; Chordata; Actinopteri; Cichliformes; Cichlidae. The transcript has 2 exons.